Molecule: ribosomal RNA, 402 nt
Filed under: uncultured bacterium
Lineage: Bacteria
Description: bacterial SSU rRNA
Rfam family: Bacterial small subunit ribosomal RNA
Source: RNAcentral
UCGGGAAUUUUGGGCAAUGGGCGAAAGCCUGACCCAGCAACGCCGCGUGAGGGAUGAAGUAUCUCGGUAUGUAAACCUCGAAAGAAUGGGAAGAAUAAAUGACGGUACCAUUUAUAAGCUCCGGCUAACCACGUGCCAGCAGCCGCGGUAAUACGUAGGGAGCAAGCGUUGUUCGGAUUUACUGGGCGUAAAGGGCGCGUAGGCGGCGCGGUAAGUCACUUGUGAAAUCUCUGAGCUUAACUCAGAACGGCCAAGUGAUACUGCUGUGCUAGAGUGCGGAAGAGGCAACCGGAAUUCUUGGUGUAGCGGUGAAAUGCGUAGAUAUCAAGAGGAACACCUGAGGCGAAGGCGGGUUGCUGGGCCGACACUGACGCUGAUGCGCGAAAGCCAGGGGAGCAAACG